This 579-nucleotide ribosomal RNA is filed under the name uncultured Glomus. RNAcentral describes it as "eukaryotic LSU rRNA". It matches the Rfam family "Eukaryotic large subunit ribosomal RNA", at positions 204 to 637 of the family's 3401-position model. The record is from RNAcentral. Lineage: Eukaryota; Fungi; Glomeromycota; Glomeromycetes; Glomerales; Glomeraceae.
CAUGGAGGGUGAGAAUCCCGUACGACCAUCAUUGCUUGUGUACGAUACGCUUUCAAAGAGUCAAGUUGUUUGGGAUUGCAGCUUAAAAUGGGAGGUAAAUUUCUCCUAAGGCUAAAUAUUGGCGAGAGACCGAUAGCGAACAAGUACCGUGAGGGAAAGAUGAAAAGCACUUUGAAAAGAGAGUUAAAUAGUACGUGAAAUUGUUGAAAGGGAAACGAUUAAAGCCAGUCGUACCGACGGAGAAUCAACUUUUGGAAUGCGAGUUGGGGUAUUCGAGGAGUUUAAAAGCCUUCGUGUGCUCAUGUAUUCGUGUUUCUUGGGUGCACUUCUUCGUUUUUGGUAGGUUAACAUCAAUUUUGGACGUUGCAAAAUGACUGGGGGAAUGUAGCUUCGAUUUUUCGAAGUGUUAUAGCCCUUGGUAGAUGUGGCGACCGGGAUUGAGGAUUGCAACGAAUGCUUUCGGGCUAUCCUUCUGACCUCUGGUGGUUGCUUUGGGGUCGAAAGCGUGCUUACGACUUCUAAGUUGGCUAUCAAAAGGCUAGAAUGUGAUUAAAUUCGUUAAGGAUGUUGACGUAAUGG